UCCAUGUACGGCUGCCCUGCAGGAUCUUUGCACAGCUAUGCAGAUGGGAGAAUGGAGAAACUCUGAACAAAUGAUGAAAAUAUUAAUGAAGUGGAAUACUGCCGAAAUAAUGACCAAGAUUUGGGCCACAACCUUGUAUCGGUUGGCAUGUGGAGGCAGAGGUAAGACCUGGGGCUGGUCCUGCUGAGCACCAAGGUGCAGCUGUGGCCCUCACUGCGCUGCCUCCAGCCUGCCCUCGGAUUUUGCACCUUUAGGGCUCUGCUGCCUGCCAAAUGCCCAGGACUGAUUAACAUACUUAAUCAUUUCUCCUCAUCAGUGUCAUUUUCUUGAUGCCACCCUGUGUUCCUGCAAAGAAGCCACAUGUGGAGCUUCACUUGCUUAUAUAUCUGACAUCCUCUCAUCCAUCUGGUGGGUGAGCAGUGCUGAUCUGAGCUGGUAAAAAGGGGUCUUACCCCAUCUGGACGUUUGUCCCCUGAAAUGGAAGUGAUGGGGACACCUGGCUUACUAGAGCUUGGUGGCAGGACUAGGGACACGAAGAGGGCAGCGCCAAUUCAGCACAAAUUGGUGAAAGUAAGAAAUGAGGACCCUGAGAGCACCACAAAAGAGGGGCUCAAGCA
Molecule: long non-coding RNA, 617 nt
Organism: Cygnus olor (mute swan)
Lineage: Eukaryota; Metazoa; Chordata; Aves; Anseriformes; Anatidae
Exons: 3
Source: RefSeq, a predicted model, not a curated record